UGAGAUACAUUGUACACGUAGAGAGCCACGCAGGUGGCACUUUUGUCAUGGCAGGCAUUGCUGAAUGACAACCCACAGAGAGCAAGGUGGCCCUGGAAGUACAGGUAUGGGCCAAGGCUGAGGUUUCCCUGAAAUCAGUGGCUUUGAUUCCAUGUCUCCGGUUCCCUCAGCCCUGCCCUCUGCAUGUGUUGACUUCGUAUCCCAGUUUGUAGAGGAAGAGGAGGCCCUGAACCCACAGUACCCUGCAACAAACUCUUCAUUGCUGGUUCCUGGCCAGUGGACUCAAGUGUCCAUUUCCUUGGGUCUUCUAGUGAUACCAUGUGCAACUCAAGGACCAGUGACUAUAAACCUCCAAAGUGAUAUUGGGUGUAAAAGUCACUCUUUCCUGUAAUAAUCCUACUGGGUUGGACCCUGCCUCCCUUUCACCCGUACUCAAGGCCCGGAAGUACAGGUGCAAAGAAAAAUUAUACUUGAAAGUCAUUUGCAGAGUUCGCAUCAACAUUACACGGAUUUUUAUUAGGAGUCGACAGCCCAUACAGCUCUCAUAAACUUGUAAUUCAGAUUUGUAUGUCAGCACACUGACCAGUUGGGCCAGAAGCACAGUCAAGAUGUGACAGGGCCAUGAUCCUUCUGGAGAUUCUGAGAAGAAACCCUUCCGUGUGUGAAAAUUCUCUGGCACCAUCCUCAUAUGCAGAAUUUUCCAAAGAAAUCAAGAUGCACCCCAGUUUAUCCAGUCUCCCACAAAGGGACCUUGGCUGCUUCCAACUUUGGACAGUUACGAAUGAAGCUUCUGGAAAUAUCUGUGAGCAAAUUUUUGAGUGACUGUGUUUUAGAUUCAUUUGGCUAAAUCCUGAGGAAUACAAUUGCUGAACCACAAGGGCUGCGCAUGAGAGUUAUGCAAAUAAGAGCAAAGUCAUCAAGUUGGAGUCUCCUUGGACCAUC
This is a long non-coding RNA of Fukomys damarensis (Damara mole-rat), 942 nucleotides long. RefSeq lists it as uncharacterized. NCBI's taxonomy places the organism in Eukaryota, Metazoa, Chordata, Mammalia, Rodentia, Bathyergidae. The transcript is spliced from 5 exons. The record is from RefSeq and is a predicted model, not a curated record.